GAUGAAGAACGUAGCGAAAUGCGAUAAGUAAUGUGAAUUGCAGAAUUCAGUGAAUCAUCGAAUCUUUGAACGCACAUUGCGCCCGCCAGUAUUCUGGCGGGCAUGCCUGUCUGAGCGUCAUUUCAACCCUCAUGCCCCUAGGGCGUGGUGUUGGGGAUCGGCCAAAGCCCGCGAGGGACGGCCGGCCCCUAAAUCUAGUGGCGGACCCGUCGUGGCCUCCUCUGCGAAGUAGUGAUAUUCCGCAUCGGAGAGCGAUGAGCCCCUGCCGUUAAACCCCCAACUUUCCAAGGUUGACCUCAGAUCAGGUAGGAAUACCCGCUGAACUUAAGCAUAUCAAUACGGAGGA
Molecule: unclassified non-coding RNA, 346 nt
Filed under: soil metagenome
Description: partial contains 5.8S ribosomal RNA, internal transcribed spacer 2, and large subunit ribosomal RNA
Rfam family: 5.8S ribosomal RNA (bases 1-120)
Source: RNAcentral